UUAAGCUAGACCUUUGAAGCAUCUCGGUUUAGCGGUUUGUUCGAGUCAUGAGGUGACGAUGCCAUGCGUCGCCGAACUGACGUCCCGUGGUUCUGUCGUCGAUGUGGUUGUCGGAAGGAACCAGACGAGGGGGUUGAGGUGGCGAGACGACUCGGCGGUACCGCCUCGACCUCCGGCCCAGGUAGAGGUACCGCCGGCCGCCGCCGCCGGCUGAGGCCUUGCGGGACUCGCCGCACGACACACGAAAGUGGGAGGAGGAGUAGCCGCAGGAGCGGAAGAGGUAGGCGGAGAAGAGGCACUAGUUCAUGCUCUCGCACUAGGUGCUCAAGCUAGGGAUGAAGUUGAUGGCGCAGUGAGUCAAAAACAGUUUCUCACCUUAGAUGCUCAAAACCUUGACCAAACUGCUGGCUUGUACCAUGGGGGAGCCUGCACAAUAACCACCGUGACAGAUAGGACCGAACUGUGACUGCCGGCCGUGCUAUACCACCAACGAGUUGAGGGAGUUGUAGGGUAACAGCCACCUCUGACAGACGCACAAGUGGCGAGGUUAAAAAAGCCGUUUACGAAGGACCCGUUGGAUAGACAACUGUUUCCUUCGCUUCCCAGUACCCCGACCAAAUUACCGUCGUUGAUAGAAUCGCUACCAGGGGAGUAUGUAGAGUUCUAGACAACGUCCGUCGAUGCUAUUGCUUCGACAUCGUUAUAAACGAAAUUAUAAGUGUAAAAUAGAUAUACAUUUCUGUGAUUUGUGCCCCAGUGAGAAAAUACGUUGUGAAUUACGAGAGAGAAUGAAAAUGUACCAGACAAGGACCCCUCCGAUGUGUAAGUAGUAGUUGGAAUAGGGUUACGUACAAGAGGACACAUAACAUUGACCAGCAAUAAGAAGUGCUGAAAUACAACGAAUACGAGGGGAACAACAUGACCCUUGUGAAGACCGUCGUAACCAUGGACACCAACCAAAAUUACGUCAUAACUGUAGUCUCGUGAAACGUAGUAAAGACCACAAAUAUUAGGAGGUACACCAACGAGAACACAUAAUGUAGUUUCCUGAAAAUUGAGGAGCCGACAAGUUUCACCGGUACUGUAAGCAUGAUUGCCAACCGAAUCGGGAAACAAAGCGACAUCAUCGCUAUGAACGACGUAACCAGCGUAGAUCGGGUUGUUUUCCAACCUCACCCGCGUCAAACUCAGAUGAACUGGGUUGUAUACGUUCGUUCAUGUAGGGAUAGUAACGAUCGCACUCGCUUGUAGUUGGUGGAUGGACCGGAAGAAUGAAAUACCGAUAGUUACACGAUCGGAAGAAUCAAGGACGACCCUAGUAUAGUACGAAGAAUGGAAAUAGACUACGUUCGAGUAAAAACCAGAACAUGAACCAUUGAAGUCAUAUAAAGAGACCCCAUUACCAUGCUGACUACGAACAAGAACGGGGACGACACACGUAAAACAGGCCCUAACGAGACAGUCUUCGAAAAUUGCAGGAGUGUGCUAGUUACUUUAAAGUCGCGGGUUAUAGUCUACUAUGGGAAGGAUGACGUCCUCUAUCAUGGGGUCCCUCAAGGUCAUGUCGGUGAUAGUGUUGAAGGUGCUUUUUACGCUUGUAUUUUUUUCUUUUUUACCCCUGAUAAAGUUUCCUUUCUAGUAGUUUCUUCUCAGCCUUCCUUUGUCUUAACCACCCUUCAAGAGGACAAUCCGGGCUUUUCCUCCUCUUCGAAACACAUGACGGAAGACUUCGUAGACGGUACCCAUAUGACAAGGACUAGUACGAAACACCUGAAAUACACUAGGUAACACAUACCCGUCGACGUCUUCGUAUGAGACGUGGGAGUUAACACGACUGUAGUGCAAGUGUGCUGUCCAACGUACAAAUACUGCUAAAGGCACUUAGAAUACGUACCGACGCGGUAUUGUGUCUUCAUCUGCUAUUCCAACGCAGUACCACCCUGAUACCAAUAGUCUGUUGACGUUACCGGUUGUCCUGACACUAACAUCUGUUAUUAUGGACCUUAUUGUGCGUGUAUCGCUGUCAACCCUGUCGUUACAGUAGGGGUCUUUUUCCUCGUACCCUCUAGAAGUUAAGGAAUCUACAGUUUAUACACGAACACCAGAAACCUCCAGAAUAACCGAUGGGUUCACUACUAUAAUUAUUCAAGGAGACCUACCAAGCUUAGCCUCCACCACUUAAGGGAGUGUAGUUCCUUGUCCUAAUGGAAUCCCUACCGUUGAUGGCACAACUACGAGUCCCGUGAGGUUGCUACGACUUAACGGAGUACAUGUUCGAAAGAAUAAUGUCUAAGCGACUCUGACUACCGUUCCCUAAACUGUCUCGCUCUUCUAUACUUUAUCCUUCCUUCGUAAAAUUUGACUGGGUAAAACUCCUCCAAAAAUGUUGGGUCGUGACCUACCAAUCCUAAAUGUUUGACUUUGGUGUUUUCUUGUCCCAGGCUCCUUUCAACUUUGACUUUAACUUUAGAUCAAGCUUUUGUUCAAAUUACGCGUUUCCCCGACCUUUCUUCUUGGGUACCGCUAUCAGCUUAUCUCUUGUGUUCAUUUCUUGUGUUUGAGUGAUAAACCGAACGGGUUUCAAGGGCUUGAGCCCUUUUAAUGUGCGACUACUCUUCUUGAACCAAUCUCUAUAGGUGUAAAAACAUAUGAAACGGCACGCAGUGUAAAAAAAGGAGAAUGUGCAGGUCAUACCAAGACACCACGUUUCUCUCCUUUCGCAAUAGGGUCUACGUCCUCUAAGGUAAAGGGUACAUCGUUGACUCACUCUUGGCACAAUUGUAACUUUUAAAACUUAAUACAGUUGCUCACUUGAUGACUGUUCACCGUGUUGAACGAUACACGACAUAUGUUCCAACGUGGAACGACAGUGGCAGUGGUGAAGAGGGGCUCGUUCACGGAUACUAUGGAACUUUACAAUAUAAACUUCGCCACUCCAGAUUUUUAUAUGUGAAAACCUUUCUCAACAAGACAUACGUCGUAGGAUUCGGACUCUUUCGACCUUCGGACCUUCUCAAACUUAAUCAAAACCAACCCACCGGUCCCGUUAUCACGUUCUUUCUUAAGGAACAAAUUGUGAUAAAAUUUAAGAUAAAGGGAUAAAUUGUGACCUUUUUACAAAGAAGAGAUAGAUUGUGGUUGAAAUUUAAAACAAGGGUUACAUUGUGAAAGCAGGUAAAAACCUGGAUUGCCACAAUUUACCUUACACUUUCCUGUUCAAAUGGGAACCAAGACCGACGUUUUUGAGGAGCUUCGUCCCACCACCC
RNAcentral lists this ribosomal RNA (3266 nucleotides) under Triticum aestivum (bread wheat). RNAcentral describes it as "partial small subunit ribosomal RNA". The record is from RNAcentral. Lineage: Eukaryota; Viridiplantae; Streptophyta; Magnoliopsida; Poales; Poaceae.